UCAAUUUUCAUGAGGUAUCCAAGUGUCCACCCUCUAACGAUGAUCCACACGAAAAUUGAACCAAAGACAACACUCCCCCUUCACCUUGCUUCAAGAGUUCUAGCCCGUGAAACUCGACUAGCCACCAAUCGAUCAGAUUUUUCUCCAGACCUAAGUUUGAGCCACUCUGAACCACCCACUGGACCUGACCACCUUUUAUUAGAUGUGUGCCCUAGAUG
Molecule: long non-coding RNA, 218 nt
Filed under: Elaeis guineensis (African oil palm)
Lineage: Eukaryota; Viridiplantae; Streptophyta; Magnoliopsida; Arecales; Arecaceae
Description: long non-coding RNA (EGUI_LNC038120)
Source: RNAcentral